This is a non-coding RNA of Chiloscyllium plagiosum (whitespotted bambooshark), 72 nucleotides long. The record is from the annotation of a RefSeq genome assembly. Lineage: Eukaryota; Metazoa; Chordata; Chondrichthyes; Orectolobiformes; Hemiscylliidae.
UCCCUGGUGGUCUAAUGGUUAGGAUUUGGCGCUGUCACCGCUGUGGCCUGGGUUUGAUUCCCAGUCAGGGAG